Molecule: ribosomal RNA, 493 nt
Filed under: Nereimyra punctata
Lineage: Eukaryota; Metazoa; Annelida; Polychaeta; Phyllodocida; Hesionidae
Description: partial 16S ribosomal RNA
Rfam family: Bacterial large subunit ribosomal RNA
Source: RNAcentral
CCCGGUGAACUAAGGUUUUAACGGCCGCGGUAUCCUGACCGUGCAAAGGUAGCAUAAUCACUCGCCCUUUAAUUGGGGGCUUGUAUGAAUGGAUAAAUGAGGGGCCAGCUGUCUCUAGUAUACACAUAAAAAUUAAACUUGAGGUGAAGAUACCUCAAUUCUUUCAAAAGACAAGAAGACCCUAUAGAGUUUUAUCUUAAUUACUUAAUGAGCUUAGAACUAAUGUAUCAAGCCCUAUAAAAAAAGAUUUAGUUGGGGCGACUGGGGGACAAAAAAAACUCCCCUCAAAAAAAGAGAUAUAACUCACUUUAAAGAUCCUUUUUAAAGACCUAAAAAAUCACACUACCUUAGGGAUAACAGGCUAAUCUCCCUAGAGAGUUCAAAUUGACAGGGAGGAUGGCACCUCGAUGUUGGCUUAGGAAACCUUUUAAAAUGCAGCAGUUUAAAAAUAGUUGGUUUGUUCAACCAUUAAUAUCCUACGUGAUCUGAGUUC